AGAGUUUGAUCAUGGCUCAGGAUGAACGCUAGCGGCAGGCUUAACACAUGCAAGUCGAGGGGCAGCAGGGGUAGCAAUACUCGCUGGCGACCGGCAAACGGGUGCGGAACACGUACAGAAUCUACCUUUGUCUGGGGCAUAGCCCGGAGAAAUCCGGAUUAACUCCCCAUAAUAUGACAGGAGGGCAUCCCCCGGUCAUUAAAAAUUUAUUGGACAGAGAUGACUGUGCGUCCCAUUAGCUAGUUGGUAGGGUAACGGCCUACCAAGGCGACGAUGGGUAGCUGGUGUGAGAGCACGACCAGCCACACGGGCACUGAGACACGGGCCCGACUCCUACGGGAGGCAGC
This 347-nucleotide ribosomal RNA is filed under the name uncultured bacterium. RNAcentral's name for it is "bacterial SSU rRNA". It matches the Rfam family "Bacterial small subunit ribosomal RNA", at positions 8 to 352 of the family's 1533-position model. The record is from RNAcentral.